AGCAUUACUGCUUGAUUCGAAGAAUCAUAUCAGAAUAUCGAUCUAAUCUAGAAAAUUUCGUCAGUAUAACUGUCUGAUUCAGAGAAUCAUGACAAAAUCAUUGUGCUAGAUUCGGUUGGUCAGCCUUCCAAAAAUGAUUACACGAUUGUCUUCUCUAUAAAUACCCAAACUUCAAGGAUCUAGAUAAGUAAUCCAUUUUCAUUAAGCUCAAAACUCUACUUCUUUGUUUGCACAUUCUGACUUGAGUGUCGGAGGGUCCUCGCUGGAGCACCAUCCUCCGACCCAAAGUUUUUUGUAGGUUGUUCCAAUGCUGCGUUUCUUUAUCUUCUGACGUCAAUCAG
RNAcentral lists this long non-coding RNA (341 nucleotides) under Elaeis guineensis (African oil palm). RNAcentral describes it as "long non-coding RNA (EGUI_LNC003702)". Lineage: Eukaryota; Viridiplantae; Streptophyta; Magnoliopsida; Arecales; Arecaceae. The record is from RNAcentral.